This 987-nucleotide long non-coding RNA is filed under the name Phascolarctos cinereus (koala). RNAcentral describes it as "lncRNA (ENSPCIG00000029121.2)". Lineage: Eukaryota; Metazoa; Chordata; Mammalia; Diprotodontia; Phascolarctidae. The record is from RNAcentral.
GCCAGUGAGCAUCCACAGGUUUCUGUAUUGUUUGCUUACAGAAGCCUUGAGGGGCUGGAACUCAGUAUAGCCACUGAAAGCCGGCUGUAGGGGCUGUUGAAGAUGGUUGUGUUGGAGAUGAGCCCACAGUAGUCUGGAGUCAAGGCACUGAAUCCUUGUUAACAUACUCCAUGGCCCACCAGGGGGCCCUUGCCCCAUCUUAGAAGACAACUGAGACAUUUUUCUAUGGCAGAAGCCUGACUGAUCCUUCCCUGUUCCUUCCUUCUUUGCUCUCCUGUGCAGGUGCUGCUGGGAACAUGACUGCUGCUAUCAAAAGUUAGAAGGAAAACAUGAAUCCAAAAUCCAAAAUUAUAGCUUCACCUACAAAGCAGGUGUUGUCACCUGUAACGAUUUGAACUUCUGUAAGGCUGAAAAUUGUAUUUGUAACAAGCUACUUGCUGAAUGUUUGAAGAAACACGUGAGCAGCUUCAGCUCUGAAUACAGAGGCUUUCCCCACUCCCGCUGAAGUGAGAAAAGAGUUCCGUGCCUAGCCUGAGCCUGUCAGGUCCCUUUCUUGUCCUUAUCACUUAUUUCUCCCCAGGCUUUCCAAACUCUGGGCUCCCAGAAUCCUCCAAGAUGGUCCCACAUCUCAGCUGUUAACAAACAAACAAAAAAAGAGGCUCCUGAGAUUUGGGGUGGGGGGUGGUAGUGAUCAUGAGACUUCGGGCUGGAAGAGGCUUUGGAAAGUAUUGAGGCCAGAGGUGUCCAACGUGGGGCCCAGGGGCUGAACCAGAUUAAAAUGUAAUUGGGAAAUAGAUCAACAAAACAAGUAAAAUACAGUCGAAUAUCAAUAUUGUUAACGUGUGGUUUCCUACGUCAUUAUGCUGCUGGCACGGCUCUUUAGGUAUGGUUUAGUGGCCCCACUUUUGAUAUCUGUUUGACCCCAUUUACUCUAGUCCAAACUUUUUGUUUUAUAAAGGAGGAAAGUGAAGUCCAGAGAGUCUCAGG